CGAACUACCAUUGAAUUUUGUGUUUGGUUUCAUCAUGCGACUCUUUAACUUUUUCAUCUUCCUUGGAAUUAACUGCGAGCCAUGUCAUGCAGCAAUGGUGGAUGAUGCUAUGAUGUAUGGAUGCAUACACCUUUUCCUACAGUUUCUGCAUCUGUCUGGAAUAUUCUUCCCCGUUGUGAUAAUGAAUUUAUUUUCUCAUUUUAGCAGCAUCCACGUAAUCACCACAUUAUCUGUUAAUAUCUCAUGUUUACAUUUCUUAACCUUUUUCCUUUGCC
Molecule: unclassified non-coding RNA, 275 nt
Filed under: Hevea brasiliensis (rubber tree)
Lineage: Eukaryota; Viridiplantae; Streptophyta; Magnoliopsida; Malpighiales; Euphorbiaceae
Source: RNAcentral